Non-coding RNA from Penaeus vannamei (Pacific white shrimp), 473 nucleotides. The record is from RefSeq and is a predicted model, not a curated record. Lineage: Eukaryota; Metazoa; Arthropoda; Malacostraca; Decapoda; Penaeidae.
CUUUGGCCCGACAGACGACCCGGAUUCACAUAAAUUACGCAGCUUUCAUCGGUUUAGUAUUGAUAAGUGGCUAUUUUAUCACUAAUUGCCUCGCCCAUUGCUAUUUUCUCUGUGAUUUCUACCUCGAAAUAACUCCGAGGGGAGUGCGAAGUGGCGGAAGAAGGAAAUAGAAAAUAAAAGAUUCUGGGCGGCUACAAAACCGGCGGGUGGACAGACUCCAGGGCCUGCUGCCGCGUUGGAGUGUGAGUCUGAUACAGCAUCAUACUGGCAGAACGCCCGGCAAUGUUUAUUUUUUUGGGAGACUACGUAGAGAGGAGAAGCCUAAGUUCCUUAACUCUGCCAUCGCCUCUCCCAUCCAGUCAAGCCAGGGCUCCCUUGAGCGAGGAGCACAUGCAGACACUCGGCUCCUGGAAGUUUGGCCGCGCAAAGUGUUUGGAGCCAUAAGGUAAGGUCAUGGAAGAACGAGUUUAGCU